RNAcentral lists this ribosomal RNA (305 nucleotides) under uncultured bacterium. Its description in RNAcentral is "bacterial SSU rRNA". It matches the Rfam family "Bacterial small subunit ribosomal RNA", at positions 334 to 636 of the family's 1533-position model. The record is from RNAcentral.
UCUGCCUACGGGGCGCAGCAGUGAGGAAUAUUGGUCAAUGGACGCAAGUCUGAACCAGCCAUGCCGCGUGCAGGAAGACGGCUCUAUGAGUUGUAAACUGCUUUUGUACGAGGGUAAAUGCAGGUACGUGUAUCUGUUUGAAGGUAUCGUACGAAUAAGGAUCGGCUAACUCCGUGCCAGCAGCCGCGGUAAUACGGAGGAUCCGAGCGUUAUCCGGAUUCAUUGGGUUUAAAGGGUGCGUAGGUUGUUUUAUAAGUUAGCGGUGAAAUACCGAUGCUCAACAUCGGGGCUGCCGCUAAUACUGU